CUAGUCAACAAACUACAUAAAGGUGUAUGGGGGGGACUUGGAAUCUGCAGUAAGAAAGAGAGGAAAGAUGGAAGUUCCUCCCUCACAAAUAUCCCACCUCUUCUGCAUGCAUCUCCAAGAAGACCUUCUGUUUCACAAGUCACCCUUCCAGCAAUGGGACGAGUCUUUGGCAGUUCAGUCUGGAAAAGUAAACGCUAUUUACCCAAAAGACAGUAAUUUUAAACUCCCCUUUCGGAUGGUCUCCAGUGAGAAAUGAAGCUGAGGAGGUGGAGAGGACAGGAGGGGCUGUUCCUCCAGCUGUUGGAAGCAAUCUUGGCUUGGAGAAGAAUGUCUGAUCCAACCAUAGCACACUGGAAACGUUGGAGCCGUCAGUAUCCGGGGAGCAAUUCCAGAGAAGGCCUAACUUCCAACAGCCCAGGCUUUUCAUGAACUAUUCUGGUCGUUGUUUCUCUGUUUAGGGAGUUCCCUUUGGCAGGAGCUGCGAUUUACACAACAGAAGGUGACACCACUGGCAGCGGAGCAUGCCUCUUCGAAUCCCCUACCCGGGCAGUGCUCAGCUCCUUCUUCUGCUUCAUGCUCCAAAGCUAGGAACCCACUGAAAACCCCUGCUAUGCAAGCCCUUUUAUUUAGAUUCAGGCGGCUUUAUUUUCACUUCCUUCCCUUCGAAAUGCAGGAUACUCUUUCUCAAAGGCAGAUUAGAUGUUCAACACUCUGACUACAUUCAACUAAAACCCCAGGUGAUCCCCAUUAAAAACCAGUCAGGCUUUGGGGGAGAUGCCAGAGGGGGUGUUGUUGUGACUUGUUCUUUCUGGAAGCCUAAGCCAGUGUCUGGUCUCUUCUAUGUCUGGUGUGGCCCAGCUGGUGAGGGGGCCUCUGCCAAGCACUGAGAAGUUAGCAUAUUACAUCCUUAUUACAUUCAACUAUCUCUCUCUCUCUCUCUUUUUUUUUUUUUUCGGUCAUGCAACUUGAGUGUGUUUGGGACUAAGGCCUUGAGUUUCUGCAUUCUGUGUCUUCUAUCAGCUGCUUUCACUCUCACAUUUGUGACACCCAAUAUUGCAACUGGGGCCUCCAGGGUGAGACUGUGCAUCCCUAGGAAGCACUGUUGUGAUGGAGCCAAAAGGCCUGUGUCUUCCGGGGACAUGAACUUCCCAGCCGAGUGUUACCACAGCCAGUAACAGACGUAAAACUCAUCUCUUCCCUCUAGGGUCCAGCAAAAAAGCAAAAAUCCCAGAAGCUGAGCUGCCUUUUCACCCAGCCCAGCUAGAAUAGACUGCUGUGCUCAAAUAGACAGAGGACUCCAUGGAAAAUGUGUUUCCCAGUCCUUUCUCUCCUAAUAUCCCUAACAGGAGAGAGAUCACGCGUCCACAUGCAUAGAGGCAGAGAAAGAAAAGGAAAGAAAAAAGGUGAUAUUUUAUUUUGCAAGUUCUACUGCAGCCAAAUUGUUCCCCUUUUAAGAAGUUGGGGAAAGUCAGGAAAGUGAGAGUAGAGAAAGAGCAUUUAUUGAGUGCCAAUUAUUUAUUCAUCAAUUAUUAGGUGUUUGCCCUGUACUAGGUAGCGUGCUUCAUGUAUGUUUCAGGGAUUUAAUGGUGAUUAUAUAUCUAAUCUUUAAAAUAACUAUAUAUUUUUGUCUUGGGGCAAGGCUGAUUAUAACCUCUACUUUUACAGAUGAGAAAACUGAGGCCUCUUUCAGGUUGCACAACUUGCAUGUGGCAGAGCAAAACUCUGAAGCCAGGUGCAUUUUGACUCCAGAGCCUGUGCAGUUGCUACCCACUCUGAUCCUCUUACAGGGUCAUGUGAAAUGAUGUGGAAUAAUUAAGUUUAUUAUAUCAUGGCAUUGAAAUACCAAUUAAACACUAAAAUCAUGAUGAUAAUAUAAUUCCAAAGAAAAACUUGGUGUUAGGGUUAUGGGCAGUUUAUGUGUUCAACAAUUACAUACUUUUUGAUAUUGAUAUACAAGUAAAAUAAAGGAAAAAUAUUGUAUUAAUAACGUUUGCUGUGGAUCUGCUUCUGGGAGGGAAAGAACUGCUUUAAGUAGCCUUGGUACUAAGACAAUAAACCACGGAGAGCCAAGAACACAUAGCCUCAUGCAUAGUAACAAAAUCAUCUCAUCCAAAAGGAUGAUCAAAUCAAUACUAACUAUAGGAAUAUUUCUAAAUUUGGGUGCAUGUAAUUAUGCAAUCUUAAUAAAUGAUUUUACAAUCUUUAACAGAGGAAGACAUAAAAUAUGCAUUUAAAUGACCAAAUAUUUCAUGAGAAUGCACUUCAUAUCAGAAACUAUGUUUGGUCCUGGAAAUACAGAGAUUAAAAAUACUCUCCUUACUUCUAAAGAAAGUACAACUUAUGAAAGGCUUAACAACAAAUUUGCUUUAGGUGGUCUUUAGUAAUUGGGUCCUGGUUUGUCACAAGCACUGUGACCCUUGGCAGAUCAAGAUAGCAUGGUGGAAAUGCUGUCAGAGCCAGGGAAAUUAGGGCUUGAACACUGACCUCAAUCCUUACUAGCAUUCAAUAAAUGCAACCAUUCUAAUGGCUGAAAGUAGAUCUGUUUAUGUGUCAGAUCUUCAUUUCCUCAUCUAUAAACCAAGAGGUCUGGUUGAUAGAAGAAGACUCUUGUAGCUCUGGUAUCUUUGACUCUAUAUUUUGAAAAAUCUGAUUCCACCAUAACAGAUAUGGGAGGUUGUGUCAUGGUCAAUCACUAAUAUCAGGAAGAGAAAAGUAAGUCAAGACUAAUUUUUCUACCGCAGCUACUAUUUCUCUCAAAUAUAGAAUUCAUUUUCCCUUCUCCGCCCAUUGUACCUCCACUGGGCUAUUAACCAGACUUCAACUUGACAGGUUUAAAAUUCCAUCUUAUUUGUUGCCCACCCCAAGCUCAAGUAGCUAAUGAGCAGAAAAAUGACCAGAAGAUGGGAAAGAGGAUAAAACACAGAGUACUUCGAUAUUAACAAAGAAAGUGACAGCUGAGAGCUGACUGCAACUUGUUGACCUUCUCAGGGAGCUUCUUGAAUAAAUACAUGUGGUUUAAUUUUUUAACAAGGUUCACUUCUCAAGACCCUCCCCCACCAGGAUAGCAAAAAAAAAAAAAAAAAAAAAAAAAAAAAAAAAGUAGAACACUAUGAUUGUAUGAAAGUAGUGAUAGGAAUUCAAAAUCUGAAGAAAGAAAGAUGAAAGACAAAGCAUUAAAAAAAAUCUGGGCACUUUGUCCACAAAGACAACAGAUAUUAAAGAUUGAAAAUCUUGAAGUCAUGAAACUCCCUAGCAUGAGCUCAAGCUGUUGCCCUCUGUGACAGCCCCAGUUCUAGGACCCCCAGGGUGGCACCAGCAGCACUUCUCAGUGUGUGGUCCUGAGUGCAGCCUCCCUGCAGCUGGUGCAGCUCUCAGCAGCUGCCUCUCGCCCACGGCGCUCCUCCACGGUGACAUCCACGGGUGGCAGUUCCCAGCUCCCCAGCACCUGUCCUUCCACAAACUGACACUUGGUCACCCGCUGUCUGAAGCUGGGAUGCUGCCCUGUGCAAUUGUCUCCACAUCUGCACCAACUCUGCAGAAGUGGCUCUUUCAAUCAACUUAAGAUUUUAGAACACUAGCCCUGAAAGGAAGCUGAGAUCUACUUGUUUCUCAUAUCCCACUCCCACCACUGCUGCUCCCCACCUCCCACACACACACACUAGGAAGCCAAGGGUCAAGGUCCGGGGACUUAAAACACCUGAACUCAGAGCUGACUACUGAACACAUACACCAGCCCCCCAGUGGUCCUUCUGCCAUGUGUCUCCUGAGGAUGAGGAUGGUGAUUCAGGAUCACAUGGUACUGCGCAGACUCACUCCUCAU
Molecule: long non-coding RNA, 3820 nt
Filed under: Homo sapiens (human)
Lineage: Eukaryota; Metazoa; Chordata; Mammalia; Primates; Hominidae
Description: HSALNT0161393
Source: RNAcentral